This 246-nucleotide ribosomal RNA is filed under the name uncultured bacterium. RNAcentral describes it as "partial 16S ribosomal RNA". It matches the Rfam family "Bacterial small subunit ribosomal RNA", at positions 524 to 769 of the family's 1533-position model. The record is from RNAcentral.
UACGUAGGGUGCGAGCGUUAAUCGGAAUUACUGGGCGUAAAGCGUGCGCAGGCGGUUUUGUAAGCCAGAUGUGAAAUCCCCGGGCUUAACCUGGGAAUGGCAUUUGGGACUGCAAGGCUGGAGUGCGGCAGAGGAGACUGGAAUUCCUGGUGUAGCAGUGAAAUGCGUAGAUAUCAGGAGGAACACCGAUGGCGAAGGCAGGUCUCUGGGCUGACACUGACGCUCAUGCACGAAAGCGUGGGGAGC